CAUUCAGCAAGUUUAAAUCCAUUCUUGCAUAUUGUUUUGAAUCCUUGUAACUGAACUGAAAGUAUUGCUGGCUGAUAAAACUUGCUAAAAUGCACAAGUCACUGAUUACGCCAAUACAACAAAGAUAACCACAUGUUUGAGGAUUGCAAUGUGCCAGACAUUCACUGAAAAAAAAAACACACAACUAAACAAAACUCACGCAACAAACAUCUGAGAAUCUGGACACUUCACAUCAGUGUUUCGAAGUGUUUCAUUAAUAUCUUAAGACAAGUGUAUCAAAACCUUGGCAUGUUUAAUUUUAAGUUGCCAAUUUUUGUUUUACUAUCAGAAAGUUAUGGCUAUACUGCCAAUGCCGGGUCUGCUUAAUUUGACUUAAGAGUUUAAUAUGACUUAAACAUUAAAAGCUCACACUACCCCGAAAUAUAUAAUUUCACGCAUACGGUGACAUUCAACAUUCAAGUGCCAGUGUUUUUGUACUGUCUUUUGGUCAAGUUUCUUUAAACUUUCAAAGAAUCACUUUUAGGCUUACAAAAAUAAAUAUUUGUCAAAAAUGUUCAAUAAAUAUUACACAAAACUAGCAGCAAAAAGUAUCUAGAAAUCUGUCGUGUGCAAAUAGUUUUCUUCCCAGCUAUCAUUCCCAUGGUCCCAAAUAAGUUUUAGAAUCUAUUUCCUUCUCCUUAAACAAGCUGCGUUCAAUCUCCAAGAGACAAAAUAAGAUUGGAAGUUAAAGACACGCACACAAGACAUAUAUAAAAUUCUCUGAAUGUGCAAUAAAAGAAGUAUUUUGUAAAAAGUUAUGGGCAAAAUGUACAAGGGCCUAAACCUAGACUUGAAAUAGCACCAUAACAAAUGACCUCAAUACUGUCAAGUGCACCUACUUAAUAAAAGUUUUAGAACAAGGCACAAUACACUUGAAAAAAUCUAUUGCACUUUAGGAGAUUUUUGCCUCUUUCCUACGCCACUGUAGAUUAGAGUUGUUAACUGCUCUGGCCACAAAGUUAGCACAGAAAUUCCAAGUGGCUUAGGCGUUUUUCUGGUGGACAAUACUUAUCUUUGGCCAGAUUUAGCAUAAACAGACUAUAAAUACAAUGGAAACCUAUGCAACUAAAACUGACUAAAACUGCACUUUAAUAGCAGAAUUGAAACCUUGUGCAGUUUAUGUACAUUUCCAACCUCUGUGAUCUCAGGUUUGUUUGUUACUCUUCUGGAGCCAUUUUACAAAGUCUACAGUAAGCCAGUUUAACAUCUCCACGCAGCUUGAACAGAGUAAUGUGAAUCUGCAUUAAAAUAAAGCCUGCUGCAUAAUUCUUCCUGUUCAUACCCUCUUGACCAAAAAACAUCAACACUAGCAUGCGUUAUUAGACCAAAAAUUCAGUCAGGCCCUUAAGGAGGACCAAUCACUGCCAUGGUCAGCCAUUCUACCAUUUCAAUUUCAUAUGGCAGGCAUUUUUAAAAAGUCUAAAUAGAUGAAUUCUCCUAAAAACUAUUUCAAGUUAUCAGACCUUUAAACGUUCCCUGUAAUAUUCUGCCCACGUUUGGCUAGCUCACAUUAAUGAUCUGCCUAAAUAUUGAAAAAGGAAUUGCUGUAUUUACUUGCAUUAACUUCAAAAACAGUGCUUUUAAUGUAUGCAUGUAUCCAUACAUCAUCUCAUCAUGACUGGAAUGGCUUAUUAAAGGCUAUCAGGUUCUAAGUACCUAUCCAGGAUAGAGUGAGCAAAUCAGAACUUUAACUUAGUACAGUUUUGCCACAUUAGAAACUAAUUGCAUUGAUAUGCUUCAAGAUGUUUUUAUUUUUCAAAUCUGCAGAUACCAAAAGCCCUAAUGCAGGCUACCGCAUAAGUUUUUCUUUGUAAUAUUAUGGAUGAAUCAGUGAUUCCUGUUUAAGUUGUAUCACACCUGUGUGCCAAGGUUUGAUUUUAGCCCAAGUUCAGUAAUUUUUAUUUUGUCUAAACAAUUGAUAUCUUGAGCAUUACUGAGCCAACAGGACAUCAAAAUAAAAAGUUGUCUAAAGUUAAAGGCACAGUACAUUAACAAACAAAUGAUCCUCAGUCACAAAAUUAUAAAUGCAGUUUCUGGGUGGGGAUGGGUGGGAGGGGAGUUAAUCCUGACUACAGCAAUAGAGUCUUCAAAACCACCUUCGAGAUAGGGCUACUUGUUCCUUUGUUUCCAUCUUGUGACCUUGAGCUCCCUUAAAAAAAAUUUCAGUGGAGAAUCACAGCUGGUAAUGUACUGCGAGUUCUUGAAGCUACACAAGGUAUAGUCUGGCUAAGUUACAUGUGGUUUCCAUAUUAGCUUGUUUGGUAGGUUAUCUGCUGCAAGCAGAUUCAGUUGCCCCACCAGUCAACCCCCUGGGAGUUAUAGUUUCCUCCAUAUCCAUCACUGUUGUAGAAGCCUCCAUAACCACCACCUCCAAAUCCUCUGCUGCCACUUCCUCCGGUACGGCCGCUGGCUGGUCGACUGCUGCUGAAGCUGCUGCUGCCAGCACCACUACUUGUUCGGUAGUCUCUGGCACCAAAUCCUCCAGUGAACCUACUCUUAGAUCGCCCACGGCUGCCACCUCCUUUGUGAUGCUGUUCGUAAGCCAUGUUUUCCAGCCAAGAUGGAACUUCUUGCUUAGCCUCAACAAGAAGAUCAAGUAAAUCCUUGGUGAUGUUUAUAUUUCUCUCAUUGAAGAAUGAGGUGGCAAGACCAAGGUUUCCUACACGGCCUGUACGACCAAUACGGUGCACGUAUUCUUCAAUGUCACUCGGCAAGUCAAAGUUUAUGACAUGCUUUACGUUUGAUAUAUCCAGUCCUCUUGCUGCUACUGCCGUGGCUACAAGAAUUGGGCUCUUGCCCGAACGGAACUGAUGGAGUGCUUCCUCUCUGUCUCUUUGAGAACGAUCUCCAUGUAUACUUGUACAGGCAUAUCCUUCAUGGUAGAGAAAGUCCUCUAGAGCAUCUGCUCCCUUUUUAGUUUCCACAAACACGAGAGUCAAGGAAUCCUUGCCUGUGGCAUUUAGCAGGUCGAGCAGAAAUGAUCGUUUGUCCAACUCUUCCACCCAGACUACUUUCUGUGUGAUAUUCUCAGAUGUAGAACCUACUCUGCCAACAGCCAGGAAGAUAUAUUCAUCAAGGAAGUCACGAGCAAGCAUCUGGAUUUCCUUGGGGAAAGUAGCACUGAACAUCAUGGUAUGACGAACCCCCUUUGGCGGCAUUGUAUCUUGUUCAACAAUUCGUCUAAUCUGAGGUUCGAAACCCAUGUCAAGCAUUCUAUCAGCUUCAUCAAGCACUAGGUAUUUGCAAAAAUCCAGUCCAAUCUUUCCCCUCUCCAUCAUAUCAACCAGUCGACCUGGAGUUGCUACAAGCAAGUGACAUCCACGUUCCAAGUCACGGAUCUGCUGCCCAAUGUCUGCACCACCAUACACAACACAGGGACGAACUCUGGAACGGUAUGCAAACUUCCUGGCCUCCUCAUAGAUCUGCACAGCGAGUUCUCUAGUUGGAGCCAAGACCAGUGAGAUUGGAUAUUGCUUACGGCGUCCAUACCUUCCAUUCUCCUUCAUAGCUCUCAAGGCAUCACCAGGUCCAUCUGCAUAGAUCUGGCUCAAUAUUGGUAGAAGAAAUGCAGCAGUUUUCCCAGACCCUGUCUGAGCACAGGCCAUCAAGUCUCUUUUCUCUUUAAUAAUAGGUAUUGCAUGUUUCUGGACCGGAGUAGGACGAGUGUAACGUGUGAGCUCAAUGUUUCCCAUAAUAAUUUCUCCCAUAUCAACAUCACUGAAACUUUCAAUAUGUGGAGGACAAUUGCUGCCUGUUGCUUCAACAGGAAUAUCAUCAUAUUUCUCAAAGUUAAUGCCAGUAUUGCUUCCUGAAAAAAGCUCUUGUUCCAGGCGUUCACUUGGGGGAAGAGGCUUUGACCAGUCAUCUUCAUCAGACUUGUCACACCAACGGCUAUUUCCACCACGGUCAAAUCUACCAAAGCCACUCCUAUCAUAGUCGCUACCUCUUCCACGCUCUUCAUACCUUCCUCCUCUUGAUCCAUUUCCACGGUCAAAGAAGCUUGAUUUUGCUCCACGGUCAGACCGUGCACCAAAGCUGCUGUAUGCAUCCUUGUCUCUGCUAGUACUCCAGCCACCACUAUCAAAACCCUGUUUGGAAGCUUCCCUGUUCCUUAAGUGAGGAGGAAUGUAUCUGCCUUUGCUUGUAGCGCUUCCUUCACUCUGGGAGUCUGAGGAAUUCAAGUCUAGACCAGAAAACUGCUGGUCUAGACUGAGCGCAUUUUCCACCGCCACAUGACUCAUAACGAGAGAUCGUCUCGGGGUGUCCCGCUCCGACUCAAGAAAUUCAGAUUCGCCGGGUCGGGAACUCGCCGCCGCUGCCGCUCGUUCACCACGGAUCGC
This 4379-nucleotide long non-coding RNA is filed under the name Gallus gallus (chicken). Lineage: Eukaryota; Metazoa; Chordata; Aves; Galliformes; Phasianidae. The record is from RNAcentral.